AUUUGGACCGAAUUUGGAGGAAUUUGACGCGAUUUGGAGGAAUUUGGAGCCGAUUUGGUGGAUUUUGAUCCAAUUUGGAGGAAUUUUGACUGAAUUAUUGGGGAUUUGGACCCAAUUUGGAGGAAUUUGGAGCCGAUUUGGGAGAAUUUGACCCAAUUUGGAGGAAUUUUGACUGAAUUCUGGGGAUUUGGACCCAAUUUGGAGGAAUUUGGAGCCGAUUUGGAGGAAUUUGGAGCCGACUUGGGGAAUUUGACUCAAUUUGGAGGAAUUUUGACUGAAUUCUGGGGGAUUUGGAUCCAAUUUGGAGGAAUUUUGACUGAAUUAUUGGGGAAUUUGACCCAAUUCAGAGGAAUUUGGAGCCAAUUUGGGGGAAUUUGGACCCAAUUUGGAGGAAUUCGGAGCCGAUGUGGUGGAUUUUGAUCCAAUUUGGAGGAAUUUCAAGCCGAUUUGGGGGAAUUUGACCCAAUUUAGAGGAAUUUUGACUGAAUUCUGGGGGAUUUGGACCGAAUUUGGAGGAAUUUGACGCGAUUUGGAGGAAUUUGGAGCCGAUUUGGUGGAUUUUGAUCCAAUUUGGAGGAAUUUUGACUGAAUUAUUGGGGAUUUGGACCCAAUUUGGAGGAAUUUGGAGCCGAUUUGGGGGAAUUUGACCCAAUUUAGAGGAAUUUUGACUGAAUUCUGGGGGAUUUUGAUCCAAUUUGGAGGAAUUUCAAGCUGAUUUGGAGGAUUUUGAUCCAAUUUGGAGGAAUUUCGAGCUGAUUUGGGGGGAUUUUGACCCCAUCUGAAGGAAUUUGGAGGAAUUUGGAGCUGACUUGGGAGGAAUUUUGACUGAAUUCUUGGGGAUUUGGACCCAAUUUGGAGGAAUUUGGAGCCGAUUUGGUGGAUUUUGCCCCAAUUUGGAGGCAAACGGCAGUUUUGGGGCAAACGGGCGGAAUCGGGGGGGUUUUGGGGUCUCCGCUUUGAAGGUUUUAUUUUCUCACCGAAACCUGGAACCGUCGGUAACGAAAAAAUUCUAUUUUUUAGGUUUUCUUUGAUGUUUCCUUCAGUCUUUAUUUCGGGAUUAAAUCUCGAUGUUUUAACCCCAAUUUAGGGACGGAAAUGGGACGUAAAAGGGUAUUUACCCCCCUGUUCAUCAGUGACCCCCCCCUUCAUUAAUAAACCCCCCCAAUCAUUAAGAACCCCCCCA
Molecule: long non-coding RNA, 1183 nt
Filed under: Calidris pugnax (ruff)
Lineage: Eukaryota; Metazoa; Chordata; Aves; Charadriiformes; Scolopacidae
Description: lncRNA (ENSCPUG00000001878.1)
Source: RNAcentral